UACGUAGGGAGCAAGCGUUAUCCGGAUUCAUUGGGCGUAAAGCGCGCGUAGGCGGCUUGUUAAGUCGGGUGUUAAAACGUGGGGCUCAACCCUGCGGCGCAUCCGAUACUGGCAAGCUUGAGUUCGGUAGGGGAGAGUGGAAUUCCCAGUGUAGCGGUGGAAUGCGCAGAUAUUGGGAAGAACACCGGUGGCGAAGGCGGCUCUCUGGGCCGUAACUGACGCUGAGGCGCGAAAGCUGGGGGAGCGAACAGGAUUAGAUACCCCCGUAGUCCCUGA
Molecule: ribosomal RNA, 276 nt
Filed under: uncultured prokaryote
Description: partial 16S ribosomal RNA
Rfam family: Bacterial small subunit ribosomal RNA
Source: RNAcentral